UGGGGAAUAUUGCACAAUGGGCGAAAGCCUGAUGCAGCAACGCCGCGUGAGGGACGACGGCCUUCGGGUUGUAAACCUCUUUUAGCAAGGAAGAAGCGAAAGUGACGGUACUUGCAGAAAAAGCGCCGGCUAACUACGUGCCAGCAGCCGCGGUAAUACGUAGGGCGCAAGCGUUAUCCGGAAUUAUUGGGCGUAAAGAGCUCGUAGGCGGUUUGUCGCGUCUGCUGUGAAAACCCGAGGCUCAACCUCGGGCCUGCAGUGGGUACGGGCAGACUAGAGUGCGGUAGGGGAGAUUGGAACUCCUGGUGUAGCGGUGGAAUGCGCAGAUAUCAGGAAGAACACCGAUGGCGAAGGCAGAUCUCUGGGCCGUAACUGACGCUGAGGAGCGAAAGGGUGGGGAGCAAACAGGCUUAGAUACCCUGGUAGUCCACCCCGCUAAACGUUGGGAACUAGUUGUGGGGUCCAUUCCACGGAUUCCGUGACGCAGCUAACGCAUUAAGUUCCCCGCCUGGGGAGUACGGCCGCAAGGCU
This 531-nucleotide ribosomal RNA is filed under the name uncultured bacterium. RNAcentral's name for it is "partial 16S ribosomal RNA". It matches the Rfam family "Bacterial small subunit ribosomal RNA", at positions 355 to 895 of the family's 1533-position model. The record is from RNAcentral.